UAUUACUUGGCAGAAUUUUCAUGCAAAUGAUUUAGGGUCAUUUUAUACAUUAUAUGUAGUAAUAU
RNAcentral lists this transfer RNA (65 nucleotides) under Arion flagellus. RNAcentral describes it as "tRNA-Leu". Lineage: Eukaryota; Metazoa; Mollusca; Gastropoda; Stylommatophora; Arionidae. The record is from RNAcentral.